Molecule: transfer RNA, 85 nt
Filed under: Vibrio parahaemolyticus
Lineage: Bacteria; Pseudomonadati; Pseudomonadota; Gammaproteobacteria; Vibrionales; Vibrionaceae
Description: tRNA-Leu
Rfam family: tRNA
About the family: Transfer RNA (tRNA) molecules are approximately 80 nucleotides in length.
Source: RNAcentral
GCGGAAGUGGAUUUAGGUUCUGGCGCACCAGAUUUAGGUUCUGGCGCCGCAAGGUGUGAGAGUUCAAGUCUCUCUUUCCGCACCA